Long non-coding RNA from Centruroides sculpturatus (bark scorpion), 822 nucleotides. RefSeq lists it as uncharacterized. The record is from RefSeq and is a predicted model, not a curated record. The transcript is spliced from 3 exons. NCBI's taxonomy places the organism in Eukaryota, Metazoa, Arthropoda, Arachnida, Scorpiones, Buthidae.
AUGUCAAGGGAGGAGUAUGAUAUCUAGAUUGCAUGUUAGCCUAUAUUUUCUGCAGAAUCUAGAAUUCUUAAAAUCAAAUCUGGAAUGAAUUUAGGAGUUAAUAGGGUGGAAGAAAUCUGGGAGGAGUGUUGAGAUUCUAUGGAAACAUAUAUUUUUCACAGAAUCCUUGAGAGAAAGACAGAGAAGUUGUGAGGGAUCAGUUCUCAUCCAAAAUUCAUUUCGGGUUAAAGAUAGUAGUCGAUGAUUAUGAGAAGAGUAAAUAAGCUCGAGAUGGAAGGAGGGUGAGAUUAUCUCAAAGAAAUCGAAUAGCGGACGAUGCUGAGAUUUAGAGAUGAAGAAACUGGAGCUUGAUUCUGUGAUGUGCAAGAUACAUACAAAGAAGAGGAAACGUUCAAUGAAAACUUUUAUUCUCGAACUGUAGAAGACGAUAAGAAGUCAGAAGAUUAUUUAUAAAGAUAAAUUGAACAUUAAAUACAGUCCAAAGUAUGGUCCUUUAUACCGAAUGGCAAGCGUGAUAAAAGUUGGUUCCGAGAACUAUGACACUCGUGGGAACAAUUUGCUGUCAAUAACAAUGUCUCUUAUUGUUUCUUCUUAGGAUCUCUUUAUUCUUUAUGAUGUCCCAUUAAAAUAGAAAGAAGAAGUAUCAUAAUAGAAUAAUAUUACUCCUACGAUAUACAUUAUAAAAGCACUAUUUUAACACUAUGAUUAAACGUCGCGAAUUUUUAUUGUCUUCAUUUAAUCAUUCGAGAAUUCUCUAUUAAGCGAUGAAAAUAUUGUUUGUAAUUAAUUAGUGUAGAAAUAAAAAGCGUUAAAUAAUUACUU